This 909-nucleotide ribosomal RNA is filed under the name Dumontinia tuberosa. Its description in RNAcentral is "LSU rRNA". It matches the Rfam family "Eukaryotic large subunit ribosomal RNA", at positions 38 to 964 of the family's 3401-position model. Lineage: Eukaryota; Fungi; Ascomycota; Leotiomycetes; Helotiales; Sclerotiniaceae. The record is from RNAcentral.
GCAUAUCUAUAAGCGGAGGAAAAGAAACCAACAGGGAUUACCUCAGUAACGGCGAGUGAAGCGGUAAAAGCUCAAAUUUGAAAUCUGGCUCUUUCAGAGUCCGAGUUGUAAUUUGUAGAAGAUGCUUCGGGUGUGGUUCCGGUCUAAGUUCCUUGGAACAGGACGUCAUAGAGGGUGAGAAUCCCGUAUGUGACUGGAUACCUAUGCUCAUGUGAAGCUCUUUCGACGAGUCGAGUUGUUUGGGAAUGCAGCUCAAAAUGGGUGGUAUAUUUCAUCUAAAGCUAAAUAUUGGCCAGAGACCGAUAGCGCACAAGUAGAGUGAUCGAAAGAUGAAAAGCACUUUGGAAAGAGAGUUAAACAGUACGUGAAAUUGUUGAAAGGGAAGCGCUUGCAAUCAGACUUGCACUUGGUGUUCAUCAGGGUUUCGUGCCCUGUGUACUUCAUCAAGUUCAGGCCAGCAUCAGUUUGAGUGGUUAGAUAAAGGCUUGGAGAAUGUGGCCCUCUUCGGGGGGUGUUAUAGCUCCAGGUGCAAUGUAGCCUACUUGGACUGAGGACCGCGCUUCGGCUAGGAUGCUGGCGUAAUGGUUGUAAGCGACCCGUCUUGAAACACGGACCAAGGAGUGUACCUAAUAUGCGAGUGUUUGGGUGUUAAACCCAUACGCGUAAUGAAAGUGAACGCUGGUGAGAACCCUUAAGGGUGCAUCAUCGACCGAUCUUGAUGUCUUCGGAUGGAUUUGAGUAAGAGCAUAUUGGGUGCGACCCGAAAGAUGAUGAUCUAUACGUGAAUAGGGUGAAGCCAGAGGAAACUCUGGUGGAGGCUCGCAGCGGUUCUGACGUGCAAAUCGAUCGUCAAAUUUGCGUAUAGGGGCGAAAGACUAAUCGAAUCAUCUAGUAGCUGGGUUCCUGCGA